GACGAACGCUGGCGGCGUGCUUAACACAUGCAAGUCGAACGGAAAGGCCCUGCUUUUGUGGGGUGCUCGAGUGGCGAACGGGUGAGUAACACGUGAGUAACCUGCCCUUGACUUUGGGAUAACUUCAGGAAACUGGGGCUAAUACCGGAUAGGAGCUCCUGCUGCAUGGUGGGGGUUGGAAAGUUUCGGCGGUUGGGGAUGGACUCGCGGCUUAUCAGCUUGUUGGUGGGGUAGUGGCUUACCAAGGCUUUGACGGGUAGCCGGCCUGAGAGGGUGACCGGCCACAUUGGGACUGAGAUACGGCCCAGACUCCUACGGGAGGCAGCAGUGGGGAAUAUUGCACAAUGGGCGGGAGCCUGAUGCAGCAACGCCGCGUGCGGGAUGACGGCCUUCGGGUUGUAAACCGCUUUCGCCUGUGACGAAGCGUGAGUGACGGUAACGGGUAAAGAAGCACCGGCUAACUACGUG
RNAcentral lists this ribosomal RNA (468 nucleotides) under uncultured bacterium. RNAcentral's name for it is "partial 16S ribosomal RNA". It matches the Rfam family "Bacterial small subunit ribosomal RNA", at positions 28 to 507 of the family's 1533-position model. The record is from RNAcentral.